GACGAACGCUGGCGGCGUGCUUAACACAUGCAAGUCGAACGGAAAGGCCCUGCUUUUGUGGGGUGCUCGAGUGGCGAACGGGUGAGUAAAACGUGAGUAACCUGCCCUUGACUUUGGGAUAACUUCAGGAAACUGGGGCUAAUACCGGAUAGGAGCUCCUGCUGCAUGGUGGGGGUUGGAAAGUUUCGGCGGUUGGGGAUGGACUCGCGGCUUAUCAGCUUGUUGGUGGGGUAGUGGCUUACCAAGGCUUUGACGGGUAGCCGGCCUGAGAGGGUGACCGGCCACAUUGGGACUGAGAUACGGCCCAGACGCCUACGUGAGGCAGCAGUGGGGAAUAUUGCACAAUGGGCGGAAGUCGGAUGCAGCAACGCCGCGUGCGGGAUGACGGCCUGCGGGUUGUAAACCGCUUUCGCCUGUGACGAAGCGUGAGUGACGGUAAUGGGUAAAGAAGCACCGGCUAACUACGUG
RNAcentral lists this ribosomal RNA (468 nucleotides) under uncultured bacterium. Its description in RNAcentral is "partial 16S ribosomal RNA". It matches the Rfam family "Bacterial small subunit ribosomal RNA", at positions 28 to 507 of the family's 1533-position model. The record is from RNAcentral.